CGGCCGGCGGGGCCGGUUCGCUGCGGGCCGGGGGGCGCGGAGCCUGCGGCGCUCCCCAGGACGGCCGGCGCUGCCGAGGCCCUGAAUUAGGACUGGUCAGCACCAUGCAAACGCCAGGAAGCUGUGCCUGGGUUUCACUGUGUUGGCGGGUACCUGAGGUGACUGAGAGUGAGGUGCACCAUGUCUUUGCCCUGCCCCUGCAGUACCAUGACUCCGCAGGGAUGUGCAGCAGCUGUUGGAAAUGCCCCUCAGCCUGCAGGAGCUGGGACAGACCCCAAUGAGUGCAGCAUCCAGCUGAAAUUCCAGGGAGGAUUUUACACUGCGUGACACACACUGGAUCCAGGAGGAUCAGAGAGCUCUGCAUUAUCCAGCAUAUGAGGUUUCUAGGUAGAAAGCUGAGGCCUACCACUUCUUGGGGCCUCUCCAAGAAGGAAAACAGUCUAAUGUUAUGUAAUAGUCUGUAGCCAUGACCAUGAAGCACCUUGUGGUUACCUGAGGCCAAGCACAGCAUUUUCAGAAUAAUAUCCCCUGAAGCGAUUUGUUUAAUAGCUUUCUAUUGUGCUGGUGAAUAUUCCUGGCAAAAUCCACAUUUAAAGAGAAUUAAAGUCAAGAACAGUUAUCAAUGACUCUAGGCCACAAAGCAUUACAGAACUGUUUUAAGUACCCCAAUGAACAGGAUUUGCAAAACUGAGGGAUUUUAGAAUUGCAGUGAAACUCCUCAGAAAUCUGAACUAAACAAAGGAUAGAUAAAGGUCACUGAGAGUCUUCUGUCUCGUAUUGUUCUUUAUGUAUUCCUCUGAACACUGCACACAAGUUUCACAGGGGACAUACUUCAGAACUUUAUCUUCCCACUUUUCUUGUCGUAUUUAUCAGUGUUCUUCCUCUAUAGCAUGAAUUAUUGUUCCAUUUGUUGGCCACAUUCUCUUCUCUUUUAUUCUUCUGCAGUGCUAGGUGAUAAUAUGUUUGAAGAAUUGGUUUUCUCAUUAAAGAACUCAAGGUUG
Molecule: long non-coding RNA, 1001 nt
Organism: Corvus hawaiiensis (hawaiian crow)
Lineage: Eukaryota; Metazoa; Chordata; Aves; Passeriformes; Corvidae
Exons: 3
Source: RefSeq, a predicted model, not a curated record